CGUAUAUUAAGCAGAAGACGCCGAACGUUAGAGCGAGAAGAAUGCAACAUUAACACCAAAUAAGACGUGACAUUAAAUUACACGGAUGUACAUUACCAAAUACCAUGUCAUGGAACAUGCUUGCGUCUGGCAACCACUGAGAAGUAAAGAAAUGAUGUUUCUUUUACAGAAAAUGUAUGUGCUUUAGCCCAAAGAAGCCCCCAACCGAAACCACCAAUGUGAGCGAUUUUCACGAUUUGGUCCACUCAACUCCUCCAAGGAAAUUUUCAGCACUGGCCCCGGAUGUUUCCCAUCUGUUUCAGAAAUAUCUUAAGAAAAUAUAGGAAUGUACAAUUAAACAGGUGGACAAGACAGUUGCAAUCACAUCAGCACCGCUAAGACCAAAUAAAAAAUAGCUACACGUGUCAGCUUGGAAUCAUUGUGAAAACAGGGAUUUACCUUGAGUAUUGUAUUUGAGGGUCCCUGGCAUUUCCACUGUAUCUACCUAUCGGUAUAUUCUCAACCAGUGUAUUUAUGUAAAUUUGUAUAUGGGCUGAUGGUGUUUGAUACAA
Molecule: long non-coding RNA, 551 nt
Organism: Haliotis rubra (blacklip abalone)
Lineage: Eukaryota; Metazoa; Mollusca; Gastropoda; Lepetellida; Haliotidae
Exons: 3
Source: RefSeq, a predicted model, not a curated record